RNAcentral lists this ribosomal RNA (497 nucleotides) under uncultured bacterium. RNAcentral describes it as "partial 16S ribosomal RNA". It matches the Rfam family "Bacterial small subunit ribosomal RNA", at positions 28 to 507 of the family's 1533-position model. The record is from RNAcentral.
GACGAACGCUGGCGGCGUGCCUAAUACAUGCAAGUAGAACGCUGAAGAGAGGAGCUUGCUCUUCUUGGAUGAGUUGCGAACGGGUGAGUAACGCGUAGGUAACCUGCCUGGUAGCGGGGGAUAACUAUUGGAAACGAUAGCUAAUACCGCAUAAAAUUGAUUAUUGCAUGAUAAUUAAUUGAAAGAUGCAACUGCAUCACUACCAGAUGGACCUGCGUUGUAUUAGCUAGUUGGUGAGGUAACGGCUCACCAAGGCGACGAUACAUAGCCGACCUGAGAGGGUGAUCGGCCACACUGGGACGGAGACACGGCCCAGACUCCUACGGGAGGCAGCAGUAGGGAAUCUUCGGCAAUGGGGGGAACCCUGACCGAGCAACGCCGCGUGAGUGAAGAAGGUUUUCGGAUCGUAAAGCUCUGUUGUAAGAGAAGAACGGGUGUGAGAGUGGAAAGUUCACACUGUGACGGUAUCUGACCAGAAAGGGACGGCUAACUACGUG